UAGCAGCUGCUCCUUACCAUAUAUUGUUAAGGAUUUUAACUGGCUGUCUUCAACUUCUACUCUUUCUUGACCGUUCUUAACAAUUCUCUUGGUAGUAAUUUUUCUGCCGCUAGCAAAUUUAGUAGAAGUUGAUAUAGAUUUGAAGCCGCUUAUCCCAUUGUCUUUGCAGUCUAGAAGUGCAGAGAAGCUCAACAUGGGUUUUUUUUGUUUGUUUUGUUUUUGUUUUUGUUUUUGUUUAGUUCAUCAUGUUUUAGCAGGCUGUUGGAAGGAGUCCUCUUUUAUAGUUUUAAGGUCAUCUAUGUGGGGCCCGGGACUCGGGAGCUGGCAGCCGGCUGCAGCCCGGGUCUCCCCUCUGUUUCCUUUUGCACUGCUCUGCUGAUGUUUCUCAGAAUGUAUUCUCAUAUGCAGCAUUACUUUGUGCAUGCUAUUCCUUUAAGCGGAAAAUUGCACCCUCAGAAUCUCCGAACCUCUUAGCCUGGUCUGGUGACCAGUCUUCGCGUUGGUCUCGAGUAAACCACGCCUCCUUGGUUUUUACACUUAUGUGUUCCCUCCCACAUGGACUCGUGUAAGCAAUAAAUUGUAUUGGCCGCAAUACUGCCUGACUUAGGCUGUUAUAAGAAGCCUUGCAGCCCCUACCUUGAUUUCUCCGGGCAGUAGUUCCUAGAGCCGUGAGCCACCUUAUAAAAGUCCAUUUACCCUGCUGGAGGGAUUUUAUGGAGAACCCCCGAGACUUCAUGGAGAGAAGGAAGGUUCUAGCAGAGACUAGUCUUUAAAGCCAUCUCCUUUAAGGUACCAGGCAUGUGAGUGCAACUGUCUUGCAGCCUACCAACCAACCCAGCUGCUAAGCAGAACAAAUAUGACCCAAGAUGGAAGGUUGGAAAAGCAAGAAGGAAUAAUGAAAAAGCAACAUGGAUUCACGCUUGGGUGCAACCCAUGAUCUGCACAGAAAAUUUGCUAUGGAGGGAAACACAUUUCACCAGCAAAAGUACCGAAUUUUCAGAAAAUGAUGGGCAUUUAUAUAAACAAGUUUUACUGAGUAAUUCCUCUGGUAUUUUGUCUUUUAGUAAGACGACAUACAACUAUAAACACAUUCUAUGACUCUAAGACCUCACGUUUCUUUCAUCCUUUGUAUAUGAACAAAGGUUUCUGGUCUAUGUCUAACCCCAACUGUGUUGUAUUGACCCCAAACAAUAGAUUUGACUAACAUUCAGUCAAGUAUAACAGAGAUGUUUGGUUUUCACUACAAAAUUUUAUUAGCUUCGUUAUCAUCCCUGGACCAAAGAAAUUACAAUGCAUUUACUAUAGGUAGGAGUCAAAAUAGUCACUCCACACCUGGCAUCUUCUCAUUAUGAACAAUUACCAGGAAUAUACUCCUCAGUAUUUACAUAAAUUUCUUUCUCUGCACACCACUCCCUAACCUUUCAUUUGCUUCUAACACUGAACCUCCUCUUUUUUGUUAAAUGUGAGGUAAGCCUCAUGAACAUUUCCAUGCACAAAGAGAUCUAGAAAAGUGAACUACAGUCUUAAUUAGCACCUCUGUAAAAACCAUUGGUUUGCAUUAAAGAUAGUAAAAGUUCCUGAAAGCUGAAAAUGAUCUGUAGACAAUCAAGCCUACACCUCCCUGCAGGAUUACCUUUGAAUAAUUCUCCCACCAGCAGCCCUAACUCAUUAUCCAUCAUGUUUUAUAGAUUUCCAGAGAAGGCUUUUGAGACAACCUUGCAGUGUUAAUGUUUAAUGUUCCAUAAACUAUUGUCAGGAUAAAAUCCUCUUUUCUAACCUGCAGUUUUUUCUUAUUUCCAUUUAAAUUCUCUCUGAA
Felis catus (domestic cat) is the source of this 1816-nucleotide long non-coding RNA. RefSeq lists it as uncharacterized. The transcript is spliced from 3 exons. Lineage: Eukaryota; Metazoa; Chordata; Mammalia; Carnivora; Felidae. The record is from RefSeq and is a predicted model, not a curated record.